GAUGAACGCUGGCGGCGUGCCUAAUACAUGCAAGUCGAGCGAACAGACGAGGAGCUUGCUCCUCUGAUGUUAGCGGCGGACGGGUGAGUAACACGUGGAUAACCUACCUAUAAGACUGGGAUAACUUCGGGAAACCGGAGCUAAUACCGGAUAAUAUAUUGAACCGCAUGGUUCAAUAGUGAAAGACGGUUUUGCUGUCACUUAUAGAUGGAUCCGCGCCGCAUUAGCUAGUUGGUAAGGUAACGGCUUACCAAGGCAACGAUGCGUAGCCGACCUGAGAGGGUGAUCGGCCACACUGGUACUGAGACACGGCCCAGACUCCUACGGGAGGCAGCAGUGGGGAAUAUUGCACAAUGGGCGCAAGCCUGAUGCAGCGACGCCGCGUGAGGGAUGGAGGCCUUCGGGUUGUGAACCUCUUUCGCCAGUGAAGCAGGCCUGCCUCGUUUGUGGGUGGGUUGACGGUAGCUGGAUAAGAAGCGCCGGCUAACUACGUG
Molecule: ribosomal RNA, 494 nt
Filed under: uncultured bacterium
Lineage: Bacteria
Description: partial 16S ribosomal RNA
Rfam family: Bacterial small subunit ribosomal RNA
Source: RNAcentral